Molecule: ribosomal RNA, 403 nt
Filed under: uncultured bacterium
Lineage: Bacteria
Description: partial 16S ribosomal RNA
Rfam family: Bacterial small subunit ribosomal RNA
Source: RNAcentral
GACGAACGCUGGCGGCGUGCCUAAUACAUGCAAGUCGAACGCAGGGGGGACGGGUGAGUAACACGUGGGUAACCUUACAGCAGAGGGGAUAACACAUGGAAACAGGUGCUAAACCGAUACAGAUGGAUGGACCCGCGGUGCAUUAGCUAGUUGGUGAGGUAACGGCUCACCAAGGCCACGAUGCAUAGCCGGUCUGAGAGGGUGAUCGGCCACACUGGGACUGAGACACGGUCCAGACUCCUACGGGAGGCAGCAGUGGGGAAUAUUGCACAAUGGGCGCAAGCCUGAUGCAGCCAUGCCGCGUGUAUGAAGAAGGCCUUCGGGUUGUAAAGUACUUUCAGCGGGGAGGCGUUACCCGCAGAAGAAGCACCGGCUAACUCCGUGCCAGCAGCCGCGGUAAUAC